Molecule: RNA transcript, 3052 nt
Organism: Magnolia sinica
Lineage: Eukaryota; Viridiplantae; Streptophyta; Magnoliopsida; Magnoliales; Magnoliaceae
Gene name: large ribosomal subunit protein eL28y-like
Exons: 6
Source: RefSeq, a predicted model, not a curated record
UUUUAUAUAAGCCAUCCAUCUGUUUUGAUAUCGUAUUUUAGGGUAUGAGCCUAAAAAAGGAGGUAUAUUGAAGCCUCAAGUGGACCACACAAUAGUAAACACUAGAAAUUAUGUGCAUAUUGGUGAAAGUUAUUUUGGAGUGGUGUGGUUGAUUUGGGCCUUCAAUCUGCGUCAUUUUUGGUUUCAUGUCCUAUCCAUGGUUACCUAAAUGAAUGGACUGCGUGGAUAAGACACAUCCAUCAUGGUGGCCCCCACGAAGCCCCUGAGAUCACCGUCCAAAAUUAUAGCCCAAGCAUUGGCUGGGAAGCGGAUUGGCUAUUUGGUGUGUUGACGUCACCAAGUGUUGUGGGUCCCAUCAUGACGUAUGAGUUAUCCAAACCGUCUAUCCACUUGGCGACCUCGUUGUAAGGCUUGAGACGAAAAAUAGGACAGAUCAAAAAAUUAAGUGGACCACACUGUAUAAAGCAGCGGAGGAUUGAACACCUGCCAUCCAAACCCUUUUGACGGUCAUGGAAAUUUUGGAUUCAGCCGCCUAAAGGCUAUCUCUCUCCUCUCCCUCUCGCUCCAAAAGGAAAAAAAAAAAAACCCUCCCUCUCCCUCUCACUCUCUCGUGCUCCCCCGCCGUCUCCCUCUCCCUCUCUCUCUCUCUCUCUCGUGCUCCCUCUCUCAAUCUUACUGCUACUCAGCUUGUGGACGGAAGGUUUCUUCCUAUCAGGUAAAAACAGAGGGUUUCUUCCCAUCUCGCUGCCACUCUCCUUAUGGACGGAAGGUUUCUUCCCGUCAGGUAAAAACAAAGGGUUUCUUCCCGUCAGCCCCUCAUCGUCCUUGGUAUCUCUCUCUCUCUCUCUCUCUCUCUCUCUCUCUCUCUCUCUCUCUCUCUCUCUCUCUCAAAUAUUCAAUGUCCAAACCCUAUUCCGUUUUCUUCUAUUUGUUUUCUUUCAUCUCUCUAUUUUUUUUUCUUUUUAAUGCCCAAUUGGUUGAUUCAAAUACCAUAAAAUUUCUUGAGAUUUUGUACUGAAAUUAGACUGAUUAAUCAUGAUAUUUGGUGCAUUUUCGUCUAAUAUCUUUGUGCAUUUUCAUUUAAUAUCGUUGUGCAUUUCAUGAGAUUUAGUUUUAAUGCUCUUUGGUUUAUUCAAAGCCUCAUUGAAUUUUGAGUUUCGUCUAAUAUCUUUGUGCAUUUCUGUUCUAUGCCUCGUAUUCUGGUGCUACUUUAAUAUUACUUUUGCUUAUUUCCUUGGGUUGUUCCCUGUUGUAUGUGGAAUUGUACUUAAGGCCCCUAUUGUUUGUUUUGGGCCUUUGGUUCUCAUUGGUUGGGAUUGCUCUAAUAGUGUGAAUUUAAAUAUGCACAUUUCCAAUGGAUUCACCAUUUGAUGCAGAAACCCGUGCAUCAGUGCCACAAAUGAGGAGUAUGAGUUACUUUUUAAACUCUGCAUAAUUACCAUAGGAAUGCUAGUGGUAACUGAGUAUACUUGGGUUUUUAGUUCUAGUAAGUGGGAUAGUUAGUCCAUAAUCUAGGCCAUUAAUCUGUUGCACCCCAUUAUAGAUGGAGACGACCCCAAGAUAAUUUUGACUCUAGGAUGUAAAAAAUCAAUGGUCUAUAUUACCAAACCAGUGGUCCCACUUGUCACAAUUGGAAACACCUGUAUACAAGUGUGGCCCAUGGUUUGGCAAACCUUUGAUUUGUGUUUCAUCUCAACAUGGUUGGAUUGAAACACAAAAAUCUUCUUGAUAAGACUAGUAUAACCUUCCAUUUGUGGCCAUAUGCGCCGACUAGAGGGUAAAUAAAAUAACAGUCCCCAUUUAACUAAGAAAGUGUUUGGGGCAUAACUUUUCUGUAUGAUGAUAUUCAUUGUAGAAUGAAUCGAUUCAUACUGUAAAUUUGAGUCCAUACUCAUCUUUUGAUUUUUAGGUUGCAAAUGGAUUAUCACCACUACUAAAACUUUAUCCAAGCAGAAUCUCCAAAAUUACUAGGGAAUUGAUUUGGUUUUGUUUUGGAUUUUUGAGUUUCUAAGUCCAAUUGCAUAAUCCAAUGCAAUCAUUCCAUUUAUGUUUUUUUUAAUUUUUUAAUUUUUUUUAAAAAAAUUUCACAAUGAUUGAUUGCUUUUAUUUGGCUGGACGUUGAAAAGGGAACUAAUGACCUAUAACUGGUUGUAGUUUACCUAACAUAUAAUCUACUUUUACAAGCAUUUUCUGCCAAGGUCUAAUUGGAAACAAAAUUCAUGAGGCAUGAAAAAAUGGGUUGUAGCAUACAACUGGUUGAAAAUGUAAAGAUUUUUCUUUUGUGGAUUUCUAUCAGGUGAUCAACUAGCUAUAGGAAAGGAAACCGAUUGCUGUCUGGGAAUGGGCACCAACAUGUACCCGUCAUCAGCUUUGUUAGGACAGAACAAGGACGAGUCAAUUGCUGCUUUGCCAAUCGAUGAGCUGAUAGAGAAGGCCGAUGGUUUUGCUAAUGUUUUCCCUGAAUGCAAAAUUGAAGGGGACUAAUGGUACUACGAAAGAAAGUUCCAAGGUCUGGCAAACAAGAAGACUGUACUGAUUCAGCCAGCAGGGAAAGAUCUUUCUAUUGUGCUUGCAACGACGAAGACAAAGAACCAAAACCAUCCUGCAAAUAUGUACCAUAGGUCAGUCAUGAAGAAGGAAUUCCGACAAAUGGCAAAGGCAGUUGUUAACUGGACUGGAGAUUUGUGGUUUGAUGGUCGUGAGCGCAUUCGUCACACACGAGACUGGCUCUUACAACUUAAGGAGGUUGUAGAUGUUCCUGAAGAUAUCUUGAAAAUCAAACAAGACAUUGAGUCUGAACUUUUUGGUGAUGAUUAGAGUUCAAGCAAUUUGAGGACUUCCUCUUCUUUGCAAGGACUCACUAGAGUAUGUUUCUAAAAUUGUGGAUGUUCUUGGACAACUCCUCAUAGCUGAGGAAAAUGUGGAGCGUGAUGCAGUGCAAAAAGCCCUUUUGUCUCUUUUAAGGCAGGAUCCAAAAGGCAAUUUGCUGUAAUGUUAAUAUAUCUUGAAAUCUUUAGUUGCCUACUGAUUUUUUUACUUCAAUAAGAUGUUG